RNAcentral lists this ribosomal RNA (388 nucleotides) under uncultured bacterium. Its description in RNAcentral is "bacterial SSU rRNA". It matches the Rfam family "Bacterial small subunit ribosomal RNA", at positions 29 to 446 of the family's 1533-position model. The record is from RNAcentral.
AACGAACGCUGGCGGCAGGCUUAACACAUGCAAGUCGAGCGCCCCGCAAGGGGAGCGGCAGACGGGUGAGUAACGCGUGGGAAUCUACCGUGCCCUGCGGAAUAGCUCCGGGAAACUGGAAUUAAUACCGCAUACGCCCUUCGGGGGAAAGAUUUAUCGGGGUAUGAUGAGCCCGCGUUGGAUUAGCUAGUUGGUGGGGUAAAGGCCUACCAAGGCGACGAUCCAUAGCUGGUCUGAGAGGAUGAUCAGCCACAUUGGGACUGAGACACGGCCCAAACUCCUACGGGAGGCAGCAGUGGGGAAUAUUGGACAAUGGGCGCAAGCCUGAUCCAGCCAUGCCGCGUGAGUGAUGAAGGCCCUAGGGUUGUAAAGCUCUUUCACCGGUGAA